Molecule: small RNA, 117 nt
Filed under: Marmota monax (woodchuck)
Lineage: Eukaryota; Metazoa; Chordata; Mammalia; Rodentia; Sciuridae
Source: RNAcentral
GUUGGGCACAGUGACAUGUGCCUCUAGCCCCAACUGCUUAGGAGGCUGAGGCAGAAGGGUUGCUUGAGCCUAGAAGUUUGGGGCCAGCCUAGGCAACAUAGUAAGACCUAUCAUUUU